CUGGCCUCUUUGGGCGUUGGCUCCUUUGCUUUCAUAUGCUUUUUGUGCAUAGUCAUCAUGGCACCCACAGGACAAGCUCCUCAAAAGAGAUUUGGCUGAUGGGAGUCCCUUCCAACUGGCUCCUGUGUCCUUUUAUAAGCUUGGCGUUUUUGGAGGAACAUAUUCUAUUGAUGUGUCCACCCCACUUCAGCUGUUUUUCUAACUCUGGUUUCCUGGCUCAUAAAGAAGAAACAAUUUGAGGGCGUGGCAUUCCUGAUGACUCUCAGCGGGAUGCCAACUGAUGUCAACUCCCAGGUACAGGGAAUGGGAACUGUGGGUGGAAGACGGCAGAGCCUCUGUCAGCUGUGUCCAAAAUGGCUGUGUGAACCGCAUUCUGACUCCUCGGCUCCCUACCACAUCCCCUGCCCCCGAUCACCAGUCUCUGCCAUUGGGCUUUACUUUCAUUGAUGACCUUGGCAUAUCCAAGAUUAAUGAAGACGAAUCCGCGUCCUUACUACUAAGCAAAGAGCCUCCAAGCAAAUGAUUGUGGACCAGAGAGCUAUCUUCAUAGCCAUAAAAAGUACUUUUCAAAUAAGAGAUGUCAAAUGAGCCAAUUGCGUGCUAGAUACAGGAGACCACUAGUGCUCCCUAAAGUGCUGGGCUUCCUUGCUGUGUUAUUUAUUGAUGAACAUUGGGGAACCAGAGAUGACAAGAAGAAAGGAAGAGCAGGAAGCCAAUAACAUGGCCAGUGCAUUGGAGCUGGCCAACUCCGAGCUAUCACUGAGACUUGGUAAUGAUAUGAAGGGAUGGGCAAUUCCAGGGCUGCACCCCGCACUGGGGGUCUGCUGGAUGGUGCUUUGAGGAUGACCCUAAUCCCAGAUCACACCAAAGUAUUCCAGUUUUGAUGGCAAGUUUUCUAGGUAUCCAAAGUGAUGGCUGCAAUCCACGAUGACAGAGGCUAUGUGAAUAUCAGGGAAAUUUAAGUCUGAGUGGUGGUUUUUUCCCCCGCAAUGUGACUCAACUUCCCUUUCUCUAAACACGUAUUUCAUUUUCCUUUCAUAAUUUAUCCAAUUCCUCUCACAAAAAUUGCUUUGGGUUGCAUUAUAGGAAUAUUUUGGAAUUCCCCCCCAACCCCCGUCUUAUAUUUCUCUUUAAUUGUUUGUGCCUAAAAAAUGGUAUUUUGUUUAAGAGUACAGUAACUGGUCAAGAGGAAAUGUCACUGAAACACCAAGAUCCUCAAUUUGGUUUUGUUUUUUCUUGCUAACUUCUCUGAGAACAAUUUCCCCACAAAGCUACAGUCACGUAAAUCAACAGAGAGCAGAUAUGCGUCCUUAGAAGUUUCAGUCAUUGGAUAGCCUUGGUGAUCAUGAUAUUUCUUUCUCCAGAACACUUGACUCAUUUACCAAUUUCAUUCCCGGUGUGUGUGCUGGAAAAAGCUGCCAAGUGUUACUACCAGUUGGGGUGAUAGGCCAGCUCCCUGCUGGCAGCAUUUAUUUACAGUCAAGAGGACAACACUGAACUAACAUGAACAAGGUCUAUGAAAGGUUCCCAGGAAGGAGUCAGUUGACAGAUGGCAACAUAGACUCAAGGUCCCAUUUUCCACAGGGGUCUCCACAUAUCCAGAGGAGUAUGCCCAGGGCAUCACACAAGUACACACACGACACCUUGAGUUAAUUUCACCCUUGUCUACCCAGCAGUAACUUUAGACUGUGACUUUUUCCUCUUGCAUUUGCAGUAUGCAACUUAGUUUUGAGAAAAUCGGGAAAAGCACCAUCACCUUGGGCUUCAGCUAGCCUCUUGCUUUUUCUUGAUUCUCUCUGUUCCUGCCCAUAAGCCAC
RNAcentral lists this long non-coding RNA (1817 nucleotides) under Equus caballus (horse). Its description in RNAcentral is "lncRNA (ENSECAG00000059524.1)". Lineage: Eukaryota; Metazoa; Chordata; Mammalia; Perissodactyla; Equidae. The record is from RNAcentral.